GACGAACCGUGCGAACGUUGUUCGGAUUCACUGGGCUUAAAGGGCGCGUAGGCGGGCGGUCAAGUCAAGGGUGUAAUCUUUCAGCUUAACUGGAAAAGUGCCUUUGAUACUGAUCGUCUUGAGGGAGGUAGGGGCAUGUGGAACUUCCGGUGGAGCGGUGAAAUGCGUAGAUAUCGGAAGGAACGCCGGUGGCGAAAGCGACGUGCUGGACCUCUUCUGACGCUGAGGCGCGAAAGCUAGGGGAGCAAACGGG
RNAcentral lists this ribosomal RNA (253 nucleotides) under uncultured Gemmata sp. RNAcentral's name for it is "partial 16S ribosomal RNA". It matches the Rfam family "Bacterial small subunit ribosomal RNA", at positions 524 to 776 of the family's 1533-position model. The record is from RNAcentral. Lineage: Bacteria; Pseudomonadati; Planctomycetota; Planctomycetia; Gemmatales; Gemmataceae.